GACGAACGCUGGCGGCGUGCUUAACACAUGCAAGUCGAACGGAAAGGCGCUGCUUUUGUGGGGCUCUCGAGUGGCGAACGGGGGAGUAACACGUGAGUAACCUGCCCUUGUCUUUCUGAUAACUUCACGUAACUCGGGCUAAUAUCGCAUAUGAGCUCCUGCUGCAUGUUGGUCGUUGGUAAGUUUCGGCGGUUGGGGAUCGACUCGCGGCUUAUCAGCUUGUUAGUGGGGUAGUUGCUUACCAAGCCUUUGACGGGUAGGCGGCCUGAGAGGGUGACCGGGCACAUUGGGCCUGAGAUACGCACCAGUAUCGAACGGGAGGCAAUAGUGGAGAGUAGUACCAAAUAACCCGACGCGUGAUGUAGCAACGCCGCGUGCGGGAUGAGGGGCUGCGGGUGGUAAACCGCUUUCGCCUGUGCCGAAGCGUGAGUGACGGUAAUGGGUAAGGAAGCACCGGCUAACUACGUG
RNAcentral lists this ribosomal RNA (468 nucleotides) under uncultured bacterium. RNAcentral's name for it is "partial 16S ribosomal RNA". It matches the Rfam family "Bacterial small subunit ribosomal RNA", at positions 28 to 507 of the family's 1533-position model. The record is from RNAcentral.